CGGAGGGGCUAGCGUUGUUCGGAAUUACUGGGCGUAAAGGGCGCGCAGGCGGCUGCUCAAGUCAGGCGUGAAAGGCCUGGGCUCAACCCGGGAAUUGCGCUUGAGACUGGGCUGGCUUGAGUGCGGGAGAGGAUGGUGGAAUUCCCAGUGUAGAGGUGAAAUUCGUAGAUAUUGGGAAGAACACCGGUGGCGAAGGCGGCCAUCUGGACCGCAACUGACGCUGAGGCGCGAAAGCGUGGGGAGCAAACAGGAUUAGAUACCCUGGUAGUCCACGCCGUAAACGAUGAGCGCUAGACGUUGGGGAGCCUAGCUUUCCGGUGUCGCAGCUAACGCAUUAAGCACUCCGCCUGGGGAGUACGGCCGCAAGGUUA
This 371-nucleotide ribosomal RNA is filed under the name uncultured organism. Its description in RNAcentral is "bacterial SSU rRNA". It matches the Rfam family "Bacterial small subunit ribosomal RNA", at positions 527 to 896 of the family's 1533-position model. The record is from RNAcentral.